UGAAACCAAAGUGAGAUGAUGAUUAUUGCGUGGUUUAAAAAAAUUAUGAUUAUUCCGUUGCAUGUUUGCAUUUUUAACUACCUUGAGGAAGGGUUAUACUUCACACUUUUCAAAGGUAGCUCUUCUGCUGCACUAUAUAAUCUACAUACACUUGACAAAUGUGUGAGGAGAAAAUUCAUGCAAACAUGAUGAGCUGUAUAACGAUGCUUUUUUCUUAAUCAAGCAAUCAAAUUUAAAGCUCACUCUCAUUCACCCAUAACUGUGUAAAAGCGUUGAAAGUAACAUCCACACGCUUUCUUCCUUAUUAAAGAUACUUGGUGUUUUUAUUUACAUCAUAUAAGACAGAAGAUGUGCCCUUAAUGUCAGUCAGAAACCAACAGCUGUCAUCAAGCCCCUUCCAUAAACAGUACACACCUGAUUCCAACAGCAGGCUCAAACAGGGUUCAUGUCCAGGUAUGUUUACAACAUGACACCAAAGUACCAAACACGGACCAGAUUUUUUUUUUACACAGGAACGUGAUGAUCAGUCACUGGUUCCCAGAGUGAGGCCUGAGAGAGAUCCCAGUAGAUUGACGGAUUUUUAAAUGUCACAAAUAAUUCCUAAGUUUUAAAAUAAGCUGGUGAACAAACGCUAUGGAAGCUACUAUUCUGAGUGGAGUAAUGAGCAUCUUUUCGGAGAGCUGAAUUUUCUCGUGGACCCUGGACAUGUAUGACAAGCAUCAGCCAUGUUUGUUUCUGCUGUUAAAGCCAGGCUCAUGUUGAACAAACAGGGAGCAGAUUUCUAUCAGCCCAUACUGUAAAUCAGCGGGGAUGAAGUUGAUCUUGGCAACAAGACAGUUUAUAACAAUGUUCUGCAAAAAACAUGGUAAGCAAUUUUAUUUUUUCGAUUUAAAGAAAAUGACAGUGUCAUGCUGAAUCAGUUGGAGAAAAUGUGUCACAAUCAAAGAAAAUCCUUCAAAAUAAGACGUGAAUUGAAAAAAUUACAAUAGUGCCUACAUUUUUUUUGCAACUCUUCAACAAAAAAGAUAUGACUUUAGGGUGUGAAGGUUUUGUGGGACAUUGGUAUGCCUUUAGAUGGCACACAGACUGACAAAGUAUCUGGCUGAAAUAGAAAAAGGACAACAAAGCAGAGAAAAUGUCAAAUCAUUUUGGGAAUUACAGUGAAAAAAUCCGAUAUAU
Long non-coding RNA from Amphiprion ocellaris (clown anemonefish), 1179 nucleotides. The record is from Ensembl. NCBI's taxonomy places the organism in Eukaryota, Metazoa, Chordata, Actinopteri, Pomacentridae.